CUGCAACAUGAAGAGUGACAGAAAUUACCUUUAGCAGCCUUUGCACUGUUACUCCAUCAAAGCUGAUAGAAACAAUCAGGCUCAGACUGCACUAAUAAAGACCUUUCUGACAUCCUCCCAAAGCAAAUGAAGAACUAAAAGUGAAAUAUUUUUCAACCCUUCGUUGGAAAACCUGGACAUUACCACAAAACAUUAUGCUUCUGACUGCUUUCCAAGGAUCUCUAUUUUCUUCCUUACUUAAUUCUCUCUUGGAACUUGUUUGACUGUGUUGUCUUCUCUUUUCCUCUUGUCUAUCUGUAAUGUGCUGACAGCAUACUAAUUUUCUCUUUUCCUUUCUGCCUCUGUUUUAAUUUUUCUUCGCUCACAGUGGAUCUCCAGUGAUUCAGGAGAAAAGGAGUCUGUUAUCUGUUCUACAGAGGAGAUACAUACAGCAGCAUAACUUUGCUGUUUUCCACAGCAGCGUGACAGUACUGAAUCAUUCCACCUUAACAGACACUAAAAGUUGCAAACUUAACUGUGAUACUCAACAUUCCCUUUACUGAAUUAUUUUUUCAAAUUAUACUGUUCAUUUCUCAAGACCUUUUUGAAUGCCCAUCCUGUUCACCAGAGGGCUUGCCUUCUUUCCCUGGUCUACAAAAUAGGAAGUACUAAGUACACUUUUCAGUACACUGUUGAAGUUGUUCUUACAAGUAUUGAAUAGCCCAAGACUCCAGCCUUUGAAAUGUCUAGUUCACACAUCCUUCUAUUCUGAUCAUGAGUUGCUGAUAACAACAUUCUGACUAGAGUUUUCCAUCCACUUACUUAGUUCUCUUGAUUGUAUGUGACCUGCAUGAGGACAUCAUGUGAACUGGUAGCAAGGUCUUGCUAAACUGAAGAGAUAUUGCUCCUCCCCUAUCUACAAAUCUGUUGUAAAAAUGAAUAAAUCUUCUUCCAUCUCCUGGAAGGAUAUUGCCUUAAUUUGGUAUGACUUGCUCUUGCUAAAUCUGUGAUAAGUGAUACUUCUGCCCUUGCUUUGGUUUUGUUUGUUUGUUUUUCCCUGAGAUUUACAAGAGGUUGGUUUGCAUCUGGCUAUAAAGCCUUCCAAGAGCCAAUGAAAAUGCCAAUUCAGAACCAUUCAGAAAUAAAAGGAAAACUCUCAAAUAGGUGAAUUGAGCAAACCACGCAAAAUCAGAAAGAUGGUCUUGAUGCACUUUCCAGUAGUCCAGCGUAUAUAUCACAUCGGACCUCUACAUAAAUAACUUGGUCCUUCCUGGCUGACACAGUAGGAAGGAAUGGAGUGAGUGAUAGAUAUUUGGAUCAAAUAUGUUUCCAUUUUGAGCAACCUCGCAUCACUGAUGGUUGAAUUAUAAAGUUGGAUGAAGGGGAGAAACAACAAGAAUGGGAUAUGAGCACUAUCUAGUCCUUCCUUAUUUCAAAGUCUCUCUCAACACAGAGGCCAAGCUCCUUUGGUCAUUAAUGAAGUUGCUUUGAGUAGAUCUAAAGUGUCUCGGACUGGAAGGGAAUCCAGAUUAUACCACCUGGAGUGUUGCUCCUUCACUGGACCUCAAGGUGGAACUCUUGAGAGCAAGGGCUUUUGCUAUUGCAUGGAUCAUCUCUGAAGAUGGAUGUGUUUUGCUUACGUUCAUCAGAGCUGGAAGAAGUACUGCAUUUUAUUGUACAGUAAAGUGCUCCCUUCUGCGAGGUCACUGCAAGCCUAUUUCGGACUUGAAGAGAACUAAC
RNAcentral lists this long non-coding RNA (1719 nucleotides) under Gallus gallus (chicken). RNAcentral describes it as "lncRNA (ENSGALG00010016136.1)". Lineage: Eukaryota; Metazoa; Chordata; Aves; Galliformes; Phasianidae. The record is from RNAcentral.